CACGUAGGCGGACAUUUUAGUCAGGGGUGAAAUCCCGGGGCUCAACCCCGGAACUGCCUUUGAUACUGGGUGUCUGGAGGUCGAGAGAGGUGAGUGGAAUUCCGAGUGUAGAGGUGAAAUUCGUAGAUAUUCGGAGGAACACCAGUGGCGAAGGCGGCUCACUGGCUCGAUACUGACGCUGAGGUGCGAAAGCGUGGGGAGCAAACA
This 207-nucleotide ribosomal RNA is filed under the name uncultured bacterium. Its description in RNAcentral is "partial 16S ribosomal RNA". It matches the Rfam family "Bacterial small subunit ribosomal RNA", at positions 568 to 774 of the family's 1533-position model. The record is from RNAcentral.